RNAcentral lists this ribosomal RNA (425 nucleotides) under uncultured bacterium. RNAcentral describes it as "bacterial SSU rRNA". It matches the Rfam family "Bacterial small subunit ribosomal RNA", at positions 359 to 776 of the family's 1533-position model. The record is from RNAcentral.
GAAUUUUGCGCAAUGGGCUAACGCCUGACGCAGCAACGCCGCGUGGAGGAUGAAGGUCUUUGGAUUGUAAACUCCUGUCAGCAGGGAAAAAGCAACUCGGCCUCAUACGCCGGGAAGUUGAUUGUACCUGCAGAGGAAGCCCCGGCUCACUCUGUGCCAGCAGCCGCGGUAAUACAGAGGGGGCAAGCGUUAUUCGGAAUUAUUGGGCGUAAAGGGCGCGUAGGCGGCCUGGCAAGUGGAAGGUGAAAUCCCUCGGCUUAACCGAGGAACUGCCUCCCAAACUGCUUGGCUUGAGACCGGGAGAGGUGAGUGGAAUUCCCAGUGUAGCGGUGAAAUGCGUAGAUAUUGGGAGGAACACCAGUGGCGAAGGCGGCUCACUGGACCGGUACUGACGCUGAGGCGCGAAAGCGUGGGGAGCAAACGGG